Molecule: ribosomal RNA, 544 nt
Filed under: Kibdelosporangium sp.
Lineage: Bacteria; Bacillati; Actinomycetota; Actinomycetes; Pseudonocardiales; Pseudonocardiaceae
Description: bacterial SSU rRNA
Rfam family: Bacterial small subunit ribosomal RNA
Source: RNAcentral
UGGGUCUAAUACCGGAUAUGACUCCGAGUCGCAUGGUUCGGGGUGGAAAGUUCCGGCGGUGCAGGAUGAACCCGCGGCCUAUCAGCUUGUUGGUGGGGUAAUGGCCUACCAAGGCGACGACGGGUAGCCGGCCUGAGAGGGCGACCGGCCACACUGGGACUGAGACACGGCCCAGACUCCUACGGGAGGCAGCAGUGGGGAAUAUUGCGCAAUGGGCGAAAGCCUGACGCAGCGACGCCGCGUGAGGGAUGACGGCCUUCGGGUUGUAAACCUCUUUCGCCAGGGACGAAGCGAGAGUGACGGUACCUGGAGAAGAAGCACCGGCUGACUACGUGCCAGCAGCCGCGGUAAUACGUAGGGUGCGAGCGUUGUCCGGAAUUAUUGGGCGUAAAGAGCUCGUAGGCGGUUUGUUGCGUCGGUCGUGAAAACCUGGGGCUUAACCCUGGGCUUGCGGUCGAUACGGGCAGACUUGAGUUCGGUAGGGGAGACUGGAAUUCCUGGUGUAGCGGUGAAAUGCGCAGAUAUCAGGAGGAACACCGGUGGC